Molecule: ribosomal RNA, 433 nt
Filed under: uncultured bacterium
Lineage: Bacteria
Description: partial 16S ribosomal RNA
Rfam family: Bacterial small subunit ribosomal RNA
Source: RNAcentral
AACGAACGCUGGCGGCAUGCCUAACACAUGCAAGUCGAACGAGACCUCCGGGUCUAGUGGCGCAUGGGUGCGUAACGCGUGGGAACCUGCCCUUAGGUUCGGAAUAACUCCCCGAAAGGGGUGCUAAUACCGGAUAAUGUCUUCGGACCAAAGAUUUAUCGCCUUUGGAUGGGCCCGCGUUGGAUUAGCUAGUUGGUAGGGUAAAAGCCUACCAAGGCGACGAUCCAUAGCUGGUCUGAGAGGAUGAUCAGCCACACUGGGACUGAGACACGGCCCAGACUCCUACGGGAGGCAGCAGUGGGGAAUAUUGGACCGUGGGCGAAAGCCUGAUCCAGCAAUGCCGCGUGAGUGAUGAGGGCCUUAGGGUUGUAAAGCUCUUUUACCCGGGAUGAUAAUGACAGUACCGGGAGAAUAAGCACCGGCUAACUCCGUG